GAUGAACGCUGGCGGCGUGCCUAAUACAUGCAAGUAGAACGCUGAGGGCGGAGCUUGCUCUUCUGGACGAGUUGCGAACGGGUGAGUAACGCGUAGGUAACCUGCCUGGUAGCGGGGGAUAACUAUUGGAAACGAUAGCUAAUACCGCAUGACAACAGCUAUUGCAUGAUAACUGUUUAAAAGGGGCAACUGCUCCACUACCAGAUGCGCCUGCGUUGUAUUAGCUAGUUGGUGAGGUAUCGCCUCACCAAGGCGACGAUACAUAGCCGACCGGAGAGGGUGAGCGGCCGGACUGGGACGGAGACACGGCCCAGAGGCCUAGGGAAGGGAGCAGUAGUGAAUCUUGGGCAAUGGGCGGAAGACUGAGCGAGCAACGCCGCGGGAGUGAAGAGGGUCUUCGGGUGGUAGAGCUCGGUUGUAAGGGAAGAACGAGUGUGAGAGUGGAAAGAUCACACUGUGACGGUAACUGACCAGAAAGGGACGGCUAACUACGUG
This 495-nucleotide ribosomal RNA is filed under the name uncultured bacterium. Its description in RNAcentral is "partial 16S ribosomal RNA". It matches the Rfam family "Bacterial small subunit ribosomal RNA", at positions 28 to 507 of the family's 1533-position model. The record is from RNAcentral.